CUUAAGGCUAUUUUAAUAGCCACAUAAAAUUGCUCUAAAUUUUCCU
Non-coding RNA from Sarcophilus harrisii (Tasmanian devil), 46 nucleotides. The record is from Rfam. NCBI's taxonomy places the organism in Eukaryota, Metazoa, Chordata, Mammalia, Dasyuromorphia, Dasyuridae.